Molecule: long non-coding RNA, 799 nt
Organism: Biomphalaria glabrata
Lineage: Eukaryota; Metazoa; Mollusca; Gastropoda; Planorbidae
Exons: 4
Source: RefSeq, a predicted model, not a curated record
UCAAGAUGUUGAGUAUUGAUUACUAAUCAACUACUAGCCUGGAAGAUAAAAGCCAAAGCUGUAAACAGACAGGUCAGGUAAAUAUAUGAAUGAAGAAAUUGAAACUAGAAGUAAACAUCAUGGGAAGUCUAAUUAUAGGGCAAGUAUUUUUCCUUCAUAUCUUAUUUAACAUAGUCAAACCAUGCAAUACUUAUAGGCUUAACUAUUGUUUUCAUAGAAACAAUGUUAUUUUAAAUAUCAUGAGAUAGUGUAUUUAAGAGAUAUUGUAGUUCAAGUUUCCAUAUUUAAUCAGCUUAACAAGUGCACAUUCUCUGCUGCCAACAGUACCAAUUUGUCAUCCAAGCAACAAAUAUUCCUUGGUAAUCUGCUAUCAGAUGACAGUUAUCUCUUUGGCAUUUUUAUGAAUUAAAGCUUUCAAAGCCAAACUUCAGAUUUGCUUAGCAUAUUCCUGUACUACAUAUCAACAAAUGUUUGAUGGUUUGUCUGGUUCAUCUCUUAACACUAUGAAGAUGGCUACACUAAUCUUAACAAGCAAACAUUCUGUUGCCAACAGUACCAAUUUGUCAUCCUAUCCAAGCAACUACUAUUCCUUGGUAAUCUGCUAUCAGAUGAUUACAGUUUUCUCUUUGGCAUUUGUAUGAAUUAAAGCUUUCAAAGCCAAACCUUAGAUUUGGUUAGCAUAACCCUGAACUGCAUAUCAACAAAUGUCUAAUGGUCUGUCUGGUUCAUUUCUCAAGACUAUGAAGAUGGCUACACAGUGAGUACAAAGUUUUAUUUUCAUUCACCAAACAAAUUUUAC